AACGAACGCUGGCGGCAGGCUUAACCACAUGCAAAGUCGAACGCCCCCGCAAGGGGAGUGGCAGACGGGGUGAGUAACGCGUGGGGAACGUGCCCUUCGUUUCAGGAUAGCCUCGGGAAACUGGGAGUAAUACUGAAUACGCCGUAUUGGGAAAGAUUUAUCGGCGAAGGAUCGGCCCGCGUUAGAUUAGGUAGUUGGCGGUGUAAUGGACCACCAAGCCUACGAUCUAUAGCUGGUCUGAGAGGAUGAUCAGCCACACUGGGACUGAGACACGGCCCAGACUCCUACGGGAGGCAGCAGUGGGGAAUCUUGGACAAUGGGCGCAAGCCUGAUCCAGCCAUGCCGCGUGAGUGAAGAAGGCCUUAGGGUUGUAAAACUCUUUCGCCGGAGAAGAUAAUGACGGUAUCCGGAGAAGAAGCCCCGGCUAACUUCGUGCCAGCAGCCGCGGUAAUACGAAGGGGGCUAGCGUUGUUCGGAAUUACUGGGCGUAAAGCGCACGUAGGCGGGUUUGUAAGUAGGGGGUGAAAUCCCAGGGCUCAACCCUGGAACUGCCUUCUAAACUGCAAGCCUGGAGGUCAGGAGAGGCGAGUGGAAUACCGAGUGUAGAGGUG
RNAcentral lists this ribosomal RNA (611 nucleotides) under Pseudomonadota bacterium. Its description in RNAcentral is "bacterial SSU rRNA". It matches the Rfam family "Bacterial small subunit ribosomal RNA", at positions 28 to 683 of the family's 1533-position model. The record is from RNAcentral. Lineage: Bacteria; Pseudomonadati; Pseudomonadota.